AACGAACGCUGGCGGCAGGCUUAACACAUGCAAGUCGAACGCACCUUUCGGGGUGAGUGGCCGACGGGUGCGUAACGCGUGGGAAUCUACCCUUCUCUACGGGAUAGCUCCGGGAAACUGGAAUUAAUACCGUAUACGUCCUGAGGGAGAACGAUUUAUCGGGGAAGGAUGAGCCCGCGUUGGAUUAGCUAGUUGGUGGGGUAAAGGCCUACCAAGGCGACGAUCCAUAGCUGGUCUAAGAGGAUGAUCAGCCACACUGGGACUGAGACACGGCCCAAACUCCUACGGGAGGACGCAGGGGGGAAUAUUGGACGACGGGCGCAAGCCUGAUCCAGCCAGGCCGUGUGAGUGAUGAAGGCCCGAGGGUUGGAAAGCUCGUGAAGAGGGGACGAUAAUGACGGUACCCAAAGAAAAAGCCACGGCUAACUUCGUG
Molecule: ribosomal RNA, 433 nt
Filed under: uncultured bacterium
Lineage: Bacteria
Description: partial 16S ribosomal RNA
Rfam family: Bacterial small subunit ribosomal RNA
Source: RNAcentral